Ictidomys tridecemlineatus (thirteen-lined ground squirrel) is the source of this 4366-nucleotide non-coding RNA. Lineage: Eukaryota; Metazoa; Chordata; Mammalia; Rodentia; Sciuridae. The record is from RefSeq and is a predicted model, not a curated record.
AUCAUCUGCCUGCGCAUGCGCGGCCUCUCCGUCAGCAACCGCGCCUGCGCCGCUGCCCACUGGGCACCUCUCCUCCGCCUGCUCGCCCCGGGAACAGCACGCUGGGCUGGAGCCCGUGCAGGGCUCUAACGCAUUUUAACUCAACCACCAGGUUCUGAUCAAGGGCCUGGUAAGAGGAGAGGAUGAUGAGGAUGUGGGGAACAAAUGCCCCCCACUUAGGGGUCCUCCAAAAAUCCCAUGGCCCCCGCCUGCCCUGCUAAGCCUCGUCCAUCCUUGACUUUCGGUGAAAAGGCCGGCUCGAGUCACCUCCUCCGUGUGGAACCAGGAGGAGUCUCAGUAGAGAGGGGCAGGGUAACUCGUCACAGGGACCCUGCCUUCCCCGAGGCCACUCGGUCACAGUUAGAUGAGAACCUCUUGCUCCCAGCGAGGCUCAGAGACCGCGGCCAGGCCAACUUACCAACUGCCCUGAGUCCAAGCACUUCUCGUGACUCCCAGCCAGCCCAGCAGCUGUCCCCCUAGCCUGGACCCCUGGGCCACCUCCUCUCUCCACUUCCUCCUGGAGUCUGUUGUCCUCAGCAGGCAGCCAGAGGGUCCUGCUGAAACCUCCCUCACAGGCACGGUCCCCUAAGUGUGCAAGUCCAGUCUCCCCCUGCGCCCUGUCCCACGUGGCCAGACCGCUCCAGACUGCGCCAGCUGGGCGCUGGUGGUCCCCAAGCCUGGAGUCCCUCCGCCAGGUUCCCUACUUCUUUUACUCCCUCUCCUCCCUCUGGGGAUGUCACCUCCUCAGGGAGGCCUCUCUGGCCACUCCCUCCUCUUGCCCCGUAGCUUCUUCCACGGGACUUCUCCCGCUCCAACCACUAUUGGAUCCUCUGACGUCUCAGAGGUUUCCCUUUCCUCCCACUGGCCAGAGCAGCCGCCCCACGGGACAGGGACUCCGUCUGCUCCCCACGCGCUCCUGGUACAUGACUCACAUCUGAGACUCAAGAUGAUGACACCAGGAACCGUCUGCCAGCACCAACCUCUCCAAAGCUCUAGCUGCCUCUCACUCAGAAGAAAAAGGGAAGACUUCUCCCCGGACAGAGGAUCCCCUUUAUCGUUAUCGAGCUCAGGAAGGUUUCCUCUUGCCCCCGCGGGCCGGCCGAGCGUCUGACAGCGAUCCAACCUCAAGUUUCUCACCCCUCACGAGAGCAAGAGGCUGAGACCCGAAUGUCGGCCAGCCGCACAGCCACAGCAGCGGCUCGGCAGAAGCGAACCACCUGGGACACACGCGGGAGGCAAAAGCAGGAGAACGCGAGUCCAUACCUGAACCACAGGGUGGCCUCCUGUGGGGGCUUUGACGGCCCCUCGGCUGCCCUCCGUCUCAUAGUGGGCCCGGUGAUGUGGCUUGGGCUGCACCUCAAUCCGCAGCUCAUAGGAGCCCGACUGAUUGGAGAGUGGCCACUCGAGGGGCGGAAGGGACGCGGUCACUGGGAUGCUGGAGGAAGAAAAGCAAUCAGUCACGGGUGUGGUAAACCAGAAUCAAUCCCCUUGUACAAUAAACAUAAAUGGCCCCUUUUUUUUCCCCCUGAAAACUGAAUCCGGUGGAUUAUGAAUUAAAACGGUAUUUGAAGGGCCACGUGUUGCUUGGAUAUGACAGCGGCUCAUUAGGACGCAGAGCUUUUCCUUUGCUUUCUUGUCCAUCCUGAUGAGGACAUUGUGACCGGCCUCUCAAUGCGUGAGGCCAGUGGCAUGCUAUGUUAGUUCUGUUUCUAACCACGCUCCUCACUGCUGUCACUGCUUCUCCUCUGGGGACUUGGAAGAACAGCACCUCCCACCUCUCAAAAACACCCCUUUGCAAAGAUGCGUUCCUUUUUCAGAGGGUUGACGUAGGAGAAAGAAUAUUUAAGUGGCAAUCAGGAGAGCCACACGUCAUGAACGUGCCCUGGGCCUUUAAGCAAGAACUUCACCUCCCUUAUUCCCAGUCUCUAGAACCACGUGGCACACAUGCUGGCCAGCAGCUGAGAGUUCUCACAGCUCCUCCUUCUACCCGAGAUGAGCUCGAGUAAACGUGCACUUGGGGAAGAGGCCAUUCCCAGCCAUGGUCAUGACUUAUGAGGUCAGUGAGGAAUGGGUCCUUGGACCACAGAGAUGCCCUGAUAUUACGUGGGGCGUGAGCCUCAGUAACAGGACUGGAGUUACAACCCAGUUCAAAUCCCAGCUCCACCUCCAGCCCUAAGUCGGAGCCUCUGCUGCCCUAGACCUUAGGGUCCUCCCUUGCAAAGUGGGGACGUGGAGAUCACAUAAAGAGCAUGACACAGAAGGUGUUGAUGAACGUUGGCUGUCAUCGUUUUUCCCGUCACACAUCGUAUGAGUCAAGCAGUUAUCUCCAGGAGACCCUCUGCCACGGACAUGGCAGCGGCCACACAGAUACCACCGAGGAGGCCUUGGUGGGCAUUGCCUUAAGUUUCAUUUUCUUACAGAGUCUCAAGAGCACCGGGUACAGCAGCACUUGACAGACGUGUAGAAUGGCAUCACUAAAGAGCUGACUGAGGUCUUGAAGAUUGGCUGGAACAUCCCUUCCAUCUCAGAGAACGCGAAGGCGCUUCCCCAAGAUCACAGGUCAGGACGAGGACAAGGCUCCGUUUCCAGUCUCCUGACUCCAAGGCCGGGACAUCAGGGCUCGCUGCCUCUUACCUUGCUAAUUUAUUUACAAUAAAUCCAAGACACUCUCAUUGACAGCGUGUCUCUAGAGCACCGGACGUUUGAUAUCCCAUUGAUCUGUGAAUCUGUAGUGGUGGGUGGAAGAUGCAUGUGGGAUGGGCAGGUAGGUGACUGAGCAAAUGCACACCUUUAUUUCAAAGGAGGCCUGAAUACUCUUGCAGUCUUGGAGUGGCCAAGGCCAAGAUUUGUGCCCCUGUGUCCCGAUUCCUCGUGCAGGACAGAAACCCUUAAACUGAUCGGCGUAUUCUUUCCCACUGAGCUUAGGGCUGUGAGAAGCUGGCAUUAGCAGAGGACUUAGUUAAGCACCUGCAAUGAAGCCAGUUCCUCCCUCCUCUGCUUUCUCAGUCCCCAGGGGAGAAGGGCAGAGGUGGGAGCACACCCCCACGGGCUCCCUCAGUGCCAGAGCCCAGCCGAAACAUACACUCCACAUUGGCACUAUCCCGUACUAUGCAAGAAAGCCUCCCCCGUUCCUCCUACCCAGACGCCUCCUGGGCCUCAUGACCCCCAGUGUUAGGGUGUCCAAAGGACCUUUAUUUCCACCUUGUGACAAAACCAAGAGGCCUUCAAGCUUCUGCAUGGAGCCACCAAGCCACACGUGUCGGACGCUCUUACUAACUGCCAGCGUGUACGCAAGUGGGAAUGUUUUAAAGUUUGCAAAAUAAGACCAAAAAACCCCUUUAGUCCUACACUAAUAGCUAAGAUUCACUGGAAUACCCACAAGUUCCACUUCAUAAUUCUGAAAUAGGGUCUGACCCUGACAUGGACUCCUAAGCAGUGGACCCCUGGAGUGGCCUGCCCUCCUGCACUUCAAUCCCAGGCUCUCCCGAGUGUCCUCAGCUGUCUUCCUGAGACCAAGGUCACCAGGAGCUUCUCCCUGGAGGCUCCAUUCUCUCCAUCCCACAGAACAUUUCUGCCAAUGUCUCAUCGGCUGGAACAGGUGGGGUGUUGCUCGGGAUUAAAGGACUCCGACCCUCAGAGCCUCUGAGAUCAGGCUGCAGAGAUGGAAGGGGAGGGUUUACCCAGGAUCAGGUCUCAGACCUAUCAGUUCGCAUUUCAAAUCCAAGUUCCUCCCUCUCUGGGCCAUCAAUCAAGUCGUGGUUUGGAAACCGAUCUGUAGCGGGGAAACCAGCACCAGGGACCCCAGGUUCCAGUUCCCAGCUCGGUCACCAACUAGCUGGUAACGGUGCGCGUGUCACUGCUCUGCUGUGAGCCCAAGUUUCUGUCUGUACCAGGGCCUGGCCUUCAGGGCAUUUCCUAAAGUGGCCCUGAAAAUCUUCAGGCACAGACCUCAGGGCGCUGUCACCACUGGCCUUUGAAAUCACUGCCCACUCUGCCCACCUCGAAGGCCCUGAGAAGGCCUGCAGGGGCCCCUGGGAAACCCCUCUUCCAGGAAACACCAAGGGACCCACUGUGGCCCUGCCGUCCGCAGAGCCUGCUCUGGAGGACUGCCACCCCGCACGCUCCCUGUGGUCAGCUUUGGUUGGGUGUAGGACUGAGCAAAGCCACGUGGGCAGGGUCCCUAGCCACCCUCAUCCCCGCGUCAAUCAAAACAGCUCUACCAGGGUGCGGUGGCUCUGUGGCCGAGGCUCACGGGCAUGCACAGGGCCCUGCGUUCCAUCCCAGAACCACGAAACAUAAACAAAUAAAUAAAUACAGCAAAACCCCA